CCUGGCGGCAGUAGCGCGGUGGUCCCACCUGACCCCAUGCCGAACUCAGAAGUGAAACGCCGUAACGCCGAUGGUAGUGUGGGGUCUCCCCAUGCGAGAGUAGGGAACUGCCAGGC
RNAcentral lists this ribosomal RNA (116 nucleotides) under Escherichia coli. The record is from RNAcentral. Lineage: Bacteria; Pseudomonadati; Pseudomonadota; Gammaproteobacteria; Enterobacterales; Enterobacteriaceae.